AAGCGGCAACAGCUCAAAUUUAAAAGCUGGCUCCUUCGGAGUCCGCAUUGUAAUUUGUAGAGGAUGAUUCGGCGAGGGCUCCCGCCUAAGUCCACUGGAACGUGGCGUCAUAGAGGGUGAGAAUCCCGUAUGCGGUGGGUUGCCUUAGCCAUGUGAAUCUCCUUCGACGAGUCGAGUUGUUUGGGAAUGCAGCUCUAAAUGGGAGGUAAAUUUCUUCUAAAGCUAAAUACCGGCCAGAGACCGAUAGCGCACAAGUAGAGUGAUCGAAAGAUGAAAAGCACUUUGGAAAGAGAGUUAAAAAGUACGUGAAAUUGUUGAAAGGGAAGGGCUUGCAACCAGACUUGUCCGCAGUUGCUCAGCCGGUCUCCUGACCGGCGUACUCUUCUGCGGCCAGGCCAGCAUCAGUUCGGGCGGUCGGAUAAAGACCUAGGGAAUGUAGCUCCUCUCGGGGAGUGUUAUAGCCCUGGGUGGAAUGCGACCAGCCUGGACUGAGGAUCUCGCUUCGGCAAGGAUGCUGGCGUAAUGGUUGUAAGCCGCCCGUCUUGAAACACGGACC
RNAcentral lists this ribosomal RNA (556 nucleotides) under Phaeobotryon sp. RNAcentral describes it as "partial large subunit ribosomal RNA". It matches the Rfam family "Eukaryotic large subunit ribosomal RNA", at positions 96 to 667 of the family's 3401-position model. Lineage: Eukaryota; Fungi; Ascomycota; Dothideomycetes; Botryosphaeriales; Botryosphaeriaceae. The record is from RNAcentral.